Molecule: long non-coding RNA, 310 nt
Organism: Tupaia belangeri chinensis (Chinese tree shrew)
Lineage: Eukaryota; Metazoa; Chordata; Mammalia; Scandentia; Tupaiidae
Exons: 3
Source: RefSeq, a predicted model, not a curated record
UGCAAAGACAGCCCUGAAGAGCCAUCCGGCUAGAAACCGUCUGCAAGGCUCCGUAUGGAAGAAAGCUGCUUGAGUUCGUUGAACACCUACCGUGUGCCGGGCAUGGCGCUGAGCUGCGAACCACUCGCCGAGGAGAAAUUCACAGAGAAUUGCUGGCUUGAGGGAAGGCUUUUGCUGCAAAGUUCACGAGGCCACAGAGUGGUGAUCUCACCUGGAAGAGACAGAGCCAACCGGUGACAUGGAGGAUAAGGCAGCUGGAUCCCACACAGCCAACUACAAGAUCAAGUCCUGGAUCUGCAGCUUCAGAAAC